This is a regulatory RNA element of Firmicutes bacterium CAG:110, 64 nucleotides long. It matches the Rfam family "pemK RNA". The record is from Rfam. Lineage: Bacteria; Bacillati; Bacillota.
ACAAUGGUACUUCCGUAAAACGCGGCCCGGCCAUAGUGAAGGCGGGGAGAUGAAACUUCUAUGA